RNAcentral lists this ribosomal RNA (661 nucleotides) under uncultured Campylobacterota bacterium. RNAcentral describes it as "bacterial SSU rRNA". It matches the Rfam family "Bacterial small subunit ribosomal RNA", at positions 70 to 750 of the family's 1533-position model. Lineage: Bacteria; Pseudomonadati; Campylobacterota. The record is from RNAcentral.
AAGUCCUAGCUUGCUAGGAUGGAUUAGUGGCGCACGGGUGAGUAAUAUAUAGUUAAUCUGCCCUACACAGAGGAACAACAGUUGGAAACGACUGCUAAUACCUCAUACUCCUAUUUGACAUAAGUUAAAUAGGGAAAGUCUUUUCGGUGUAGGAUGAGACUAUAUCGUAUCAGCUAGUUGGUAAGGUAAUGGCUUACCAAGGCUAUGACGCGUAACUGGUCUGAGAGGAUGAUCAGUCACAUUGGAACUGAGACACGGUCCAAACUCCUGCGGGAGGCAGCAGUAAGGAAUAUUGCGCAAUGGGGGAAACCCUGACGCAGCAACGCCGCGUGGAGGAUGACACUUUUCGGAGCGUAAACUCCUUUUAUCAGGAAAGAAUAAUGACGGUACCUGAUGAAUAAGCACCGGCUAACUCCGUGCCAGCAGCCGCGGUAAUACGGGGGGUGCAAGCGUUACUCGGAAUCACUGGGCGUAAAGGACGCGUAGGCGGAUUAUCAAGUCUUUUGUGAAAUCUAGUGGCUUAACCACUAAACUGCUUAGGAAACUGAUAGUCUAGAGUAGGGGAGAGGUAGAUGGAAUUCUUGGUGUAGGGGUAAAUCCGUAGAGAUCAAGAAGAAUACCCAUUGCGAAAGCGAUCUGCUGGAACCUAACUGACGCUGAG